GAUGAACGCUGGCGGCGUGCCUAAUACAUGCAAGUCGAGCGAACAGACGAGGAGCUUGCUCCUCUGACGUUAGCGGCGGACGGGUGGGUAACACGUGGAUAACCUACCUAUAAGACUGGGAUAACUUCGGGAAACCGGAGCUAAUACCGGAUAAUAUAUUGAACCGCAUGGUUCAAUAGUGAAAGACGGUUUUGCUGUCACUUAUAGAUGGAUCCGCGCCGCAUUAGCUAGUUGGUAAGGUAACGGCUUACCAAGGCAACGAUGCGUAGCCGACCUGAGAGGGUGAUCGGCCACACUGGAACUGAGACACGGUCCAGACUCCUACGGGAGGCAGCAGUAGGGAAUCUUCCGCAAUGGGCGAAAGCCUGACGGAGCAACGCCGCGUGAGUGAUGAAGGUCUUCGGAUCGUAAAACUCUGUUAUUAGGGAAGAACAAAUGUGUAAGUAACUAUGCACGUCUUGGCGGUACCUAAUCAGAAAGCCACGGCUAACUACGUG
Molecule: ribosomal RNA, 497 nt
Filed under: uncultured bacterium
Lineage: Bacteria
Description: partial 16S ribosomal RNA
Rfam family: Bacterial small subunit ribosomal RNA
Source: RNAcentral